GACGAACGCUGGCGGCGUGCCUAAUACAUGCAAGUCGAGCGAAGUUUUUCUGGUUCUUGCACUAGAAAAACUUAGCGGCGAACGGGUGAGUAACACGUAAAGAACCUGCCUCAUAGACUGGGACAACUAUUGGAAACGAUAGCUAAUACCGGAUAACAGUAUUUCUCGCAUGAGAGAUAUUUAAAAGUUGGUUAUGCUAACACUAUGAGAUGGCUUUGCGGUGCAUUAGCUAGUUGGUGGGGUAAAGGCCCACCAAGGCGACGAUGCAUAGCCGACCUGAGAGGGGGAUCGGCCACACUGGGACUGAGACACGGCCCAGACUCCUACGGGAGGCAGCAGUAGGGAAUCUUCCGCAAUGGGCGAAAGCCUGACGGAGCAACGCCGCGUGAGUGAAGAAGGAUUUCGGUUCGUAAAGCUCUGUUGUUAGGGAAGAAUGGAUAUGUAGUAACUAUACAUGUAAGAGACGGUACCUAACCAGAAAGCCACGGCUAACUACGUG
This 499-nucleotide ribosomal RNA is filed under the name uncultured bacterium. RNAcentral's name for it is "partial 16S ribosomal RNA". It matches the Rfam family "Bacterial small subunit ribosomal RNA", at positions 28 to 507 of the family's 1533-position model. The record is from RNAcentral.